CUUGCUUCGUUUUGGUAUGAUUCAAUGGACGCCUUGAUGCUUGGCUGAUUAAAAUUGUGUGAAACGCCAAUGAUAUAUUUGCAUCUGAAUUUCACAAGUUCUGUGCCCUUGAUUUGUUUCCUUCCAGCAUUAUAAAUUGGUAAUUGCCGAAGUAUUUCAUCGCAUUCGACUGUUAAGCUGUUGGGAUGUAUAACUGCUGCUGUAAAAUAUGCUUAACUGAACAUAAUUGAUUUGAAUCGGUUUUUAGUGAAUUCUCAUCUCUCUGUUGUUUGUGAGUAAGUAUUAAAGUGCGUUGUGAUUUCCUUUAGACUUUAUCUGCUUGAUUUUGUGCUAUUGGCUGAAGUUUGGAUUAUUAUGUUCAAAUCAAAUCCCGUGUUAGC
Molecule: long non-coding RNA, 380 nt
Filed under: Nicotiana benthamiana
Lineage: Eukaryota; Viridiplantae; Streptophyta; Magnoliopsida; Solanales; Solanaceae
Description: long non-coding RNA (NBEN_LNC023967)
Source: RNAcentral